Molecule: ribosomal RNA, 343 nt
Filed under: Scenedesmus bijugus
Lineage: Eukaryota; Viridiplantae; Chlorophyta; Chlorophyceae; Sphaeropleales; Scenedesmaceae
Description: SSU rRNA
Rfam family: Eukaryotic small subunit ribosomal RNA
Source: RNAcentral
GCGGUAAUUCCAGCUCCAAUAGCGUAUAUUUAAGUUGUUGCAGUUAAAAAGCUCGUAGUUGGAUUUCGGGUGGGUUUUAGCGGUCCGCCUAUGGUGAGUACUGCUAUGGCCUUCCUUACUGUCGGGGACCUGCUUCUGGGCUUCAUUGUCCGGGACAGGGAUUCGGCAUGGUUACUUUGAGUAAAUUAGAGUGUUCAAAGCAGGCUUACGCCGUGAAUACUUUAGCAUGGAAUAACAUGAUAGGACUCUGCCCUAUUCUGUUGGCCUGUAGGUGUGGAGUAAUGAUUAAGAGGAACAGUCGGGGGCAUUCGUAUUUCAUUGUCAGAGGUGAAAUUCUCGGAUU